GACGGAGGAGGCAAGCGUUAUCCGGAAUUAUUGGGCGUAAAGCGUAUGUAGGCGGUUUUAUAAGUCUGCUGUCAAAGACUGGGGCUUAACCCUGGGGGGGCAGUGGAAACUAUGAGACUAGAGUGCGGUAGGGGCAGGAGGAAUUCCCGGUGUAGCGGUGAAAUGCGUAGAUAUCGGGAAGAACACCAGCGGCGAAGGCGUCCUGCUGGGCCGCAACUGACGCUGAGGUACGAAAGCUAGGGGAGCGAAUGGG
RNAcentral lists this ribosomal RNA (253 nucleotides) under uncultured bacterium. RNAcentral's name for it is "partial 16S ribosomal RNA". It matches the Rfam family "Bacterial small subunit ribosomal RNA", at positions 524 to 776 of the family's 1533-position model. The record is from RNAcentral.